UUAUUUAUAUCAAACAUACUGUUCUUAGACUAAGGCUCCGAAUGAUGACUGCGUUUUGCAGUGCGGGAGAAGUAAAGUGCGGUUUAAAUAGUAACAAAAAUACAUAGAUACAUAUGUAUACGUAGAAAUUUUGAUACUGUUAUAUCACUGUUGCGGUGCAGUUUUAGGUGCGGUUUUAGUCACCAUUCAGACCCUAAAUGUAAUGUGACCAAUGAAAAUAGGUCUUCCUGAAUAAACAAGGUCAAACUCACCGAUGGUUUAGAAUUUACUCAAAAUAGUCCA
RNAcentral lists this small RNA (282 nucleotides) under Arabidopsis thaliana (thale cress). RNAcentral's name for it is "ATSL014360". The record is from RNAcentral. Lineage: Eukaryota; Viridiplantae; Streptophyta; Magnoliopsida; Brassicales; Brassicaceae.